This 357-nucleotide long non-coding RNA is filed under the name Vigna radiata. Its description in RNAcentral is "long non-coding RNA (VRAD_LNC006753)". Lineage: Eukaryota; Viridiplantae; Streptophyta; Magnoliopsida; Fabales; Fabaceae. The record is from RNAcentral.
GGGACGUACGGUAAUAUCAUGAACUGGUGGGAAAUUCCUUGAUUAUGCUAAUACCGCCUAGGGAUAGGGGUAGGACGAUCAAUUGGAUAGCAAGCCGGUAAUUAAUAAUAGGCUCUUUUCACCAAGGGAUUGGGCUAAGGGUAGACUAAGAAAGUUUGCAUGGCAAUUGGAUAAAUAAGUGAAGUAAAUAAGAAGAGUAGAUAUGUGAGAGCGGAUAAGAUGAAAUUGUAAACCCCAACAACACCAUUCGUCCAUAGUUUUUCCUUGCCAAUUGAAUCACUUGCAUUUUCAUGUUUAGAUUUUGUUCUUUGCAUUAAAAACUUCAAUUUAAUUCUUUUCUCAAGUCUUAAGCGAUUG